CCAACCACCCAAACCCUAACUGAGAUCCCACCGCUGCCCCCUUCUCCCUCCCAGAUCCAAUCCAAGUCAGAACCACUCGCCCUCCCGCCCCGACCUCCGUCUCCAUUCUUGCGUGCGUCGGCCACCUCCCUCCGGCGGGGCUCGAGCCACACCCCCCAAGCGCCGCUGCUCCACCCUCUCCCGUGCCCAUCCACUGCACGCAUCGUCGGACUCACCAUCCUCCGCUGCACCGUGGAGAUGGGUGCGUCUGUGUCCACCCUCUCAGUGGAGGCAUAGGGGCGCCGCGGCGGUGAUGGGGAACAAGAUCGCGUUGCCAAAUCCAUCCACCGAAUCCUUGAAACCCUAGCAGCGAAAUUGACUCGAUCGAAAAAGUUCUUCAUCUUCCUUGAUUUGGUGCUGAUUUGUGGUUUGUUGGUGCGCGUGCAAGAGGAUGUGAUGGUGGAUAGGACGCCCAAGGAGUGGGAGGCCAGGCUGAGGUAGCUCGAGUUCGUGUAGCAGGCGGCCGCGCAGGCUGUCUUGCUGGUCACCGUGGCAUACGCGUAUGCCAAGCAGGGCACCGGCCCACUCCGCCCCGGCGUCGACUACGUCGAGGGGACCGUCAAGGCCAUCGUCGGCCCCGUCUAUGACCGCUACCACGCCGUGCCGCUCAAUCUCCUCAAGUUCCUCGACCACAACGUGUGAUCUGAAUUCUGAAUGGGUCUUUUGGCGGUACAUGAAGGUCGGGAGCGCCAAGGUGCACCUCACGCGCGGUGCUGCUGGCAAGAAGGACAUGGGUGAGGCCUUCUUCAUCUUCAUGUACGUCCCGUCCUUCCCCUCCUUUGCUUCCUUCAUCAGAUUCUAUUUUUCCGUUGUUGUUUCUCCAUGGUUCCCGGACGGCCCUUGUUCUGUACCUGCCUUUUGUUGAUUGGUUGCCAUCAGGGGGAGUUCCGCAAGGAGUUCAAGUAGAAGAACCCCAAGAACAAGUCUGCCACUGCUGCAAAGCAGCCGGUGGGAGGUGGAAGAGCUUGAGCGAGUCGAUCAUGGUGUACCAGCUUUGCAAGGGCGUUGCUUUUUGCCACGGACGCGGUGUCCGGCACCAUGACCUUGAGCCACACAACCUACAAAUUGGUGGAUGGGUUGGUAUCAUCUGGUUUGAUCCCAGCAAGAGGAAGUAUUCUCUUCUCUUUAUCAACCAAAGGCAUUUUCUUCUCUCAUGGAUGGAUGGGACUCCAUCAAUUUAGUAUCAGUUUAGGUGUUAGUAUGUUGUUGAUGCUUCUGUUGAUGCCAUGCUUUUUGUCUUGUAAUGUGCUGAUAUUAACUGGCAGCAUUAGCUCCCAUGAUUGCUUGCUUGCUUGCUUACUCUAUAACCUGUACUGAUAAAACAUGUUAUCCUACUCCAUGAUGCUAUAUCAUUUGCAAAUACUCCUGGACAUCAGCUCCCAUGAUGUUGCAUUAGCUAUAAUUUGUACUGCUAAAAGAGGAGUGUAAACUGGAGUAUUUUUUUCAGCCAUUAUCUUUGCUUUCUUUUGGGCGGAUGCUCUCCACUGGAGUACCGCUGGGUACUGCAUCUCUUUGCAUUCCUUUUUCAGUCAGUGCUUGAACAUUUUUUUAAAGAUGAAUUGGAAUACUCCUGGACAGUAGUACAUGGAGUUAGCUGUAACUUCUUGCAGUAUUAGCUAUAGCAGUCCAUUAGGAGUAGUUUUGCAUUAGUAGCAUUAGGAGUAACUUCUUGCAGAAACUCAUUUGACACAUAUUGUCAUGCAUCAGUAGCAUGUUUGCUUGUCUUGCCUUAUUCUAUGGCUUGGUGUGGGCGGGUGCAGACACGGAGGGGUUCUACAUGGAGGUUCAGGAGAAGAUCUCGCUAGGUACGACAACGUGUUCAACUGGUCCCUCAAGGCCAAUAUGAUGGGUGAAAAGGCCACCGAGUUGGCGCACAACUUCAUCGACGAGUGCGGCCUCGCUAGCCUGCUCACCCCGGAGCAGUUAGUCGAGGAGCGCGAGGGCAUGCUGCAGGAGCUCUUCCCCUCCUGCGCCGUCUUGCCUGAUGAUUUCCUUCAUUCAUGUUUCGAUGUGAGCUCUAGGUCGAAGUUGGAAGAAGACAUGCAGGAUCUAGGCAUGCAUGCAUGCUCUCUUAUCCCUGCUUAUGCUCCUUAGGAGAUGUGAAUUUCUGGGACUUUUGAUGUACUCCCAGCAUUUAUCUUUUCUCUUAUCUGUGGUCUGGUGUCAUAUUAUGGUCUAAUAUUUUUUGUUUUGACUCUUUUUUUGGUGCGAGGAAAGCUGUGAGUAGACGUCAAAGAUUCCUACUUGCUUGGCUGCUACAGUGAUGCAUGUGCCGGUCAAGCAAGCACAAGCAUAUACGUACAUGUUAGGAUAGUAGCAGAUAUUCCCUCUGUUCCUGCUAUAUUCCUGUGUAAAUGUAUUUCUAAGAUGAUUUUGUUGUGUUAUGUAAACCUAGGAGAUGUGUUAUGUGAUGUGAUAUGAUGGAUGAUUUGAAUUCGA
This is an RNA transcript of Triticum aestivum (bread wheat), 2478 nucleotides long. RefSeq lists it as uncharacterized. The record is from RefSeq and is a predicted model, not a curated record. NCBI's taxonomy places the organism in Eukaryota, Viridiplantae, Streptophyta, Magnoliopsida, Poales, Poaceae. The transcript has 5 exons.